Molecule: ribosomal RNA, 605 nt
Filed under: uncultured fungus
Lineage: Eukaryota; Fungi
Description: eukaryotic LSU rRNA
Rfam family: Eukaryotic large subunit ribosomal RNA
Source: RNAcentral
ACCCGCUGAACUUAAGCAUAUCAAUAAGCGGAGGAAAAGAAACCAACAGGGAUUGCCUCAGUAACGGCGAGUGAAGCGGCAAAAGCUCAGAUUUGAAAUCUAGCGUCAUUUAGACGUUCGAGUUGUAAUCUGUAGAGAAGUUAUCGAGUGUGGAUAUGGCUUAAGUUCUUUGGAACAGGACGUCAUAGAGGGUGAGAACCCCGUAUACGGCCUUUGUCUUAUGCUCAUGUGAGGCUUCUUCAACGAGUCGAGUUGUUUGGGAAUGCAGCUCUAAAUGGGUGGUAAAUUCCAUCUAAAGCUAAAUACUGGCAAGAGACCGAUAGCGCACAAGUAGAGUGAUCGAAAGAUGAAAAGAACUCUGAACAGAGAGUUAAAUAGUACGUGAAAUUGUUGAAAGGGAAGCACUUGCAACCAGACUCGCUUGCAGUUAAUCAACCAUCAUUCUUGGUGGUGCACUUUUCUGUAGGUGGGCCAGCAUCAGUUGUAUCGGUGGGAUAAGGGUGGUAGGAAUGUGGCUCUCUUCGGGGAGUGUUAUAGCCUACUGACGAUACCAUCAGAUGCGACUGAGGUCAGCGCUUCGGCGAGGAUGCUGGCAUAAUGGUCGU